This 320-nucleotide long non-coding RNA is filed under the name Arabidopsis thaliana (thale cress). RNAcentral describes it as "long non-coding RNA (ATHA_LNC000497)". The record is from RNAcentral. Lineage: Eukaryota; Viridiplantae; Streptophyta; Magnoliopsida; Brassicales; Brassicaceae.
UGCAAAUCAGAGGUAGUUUGACCACUGUUCUUUCUCGUCGAUUAUAUUAUAAUAUUUGACUAAGCUUUCUUUUGUUCUGUGUUCUUGAAAAGCGAGCUGAGCAGAGCCGUUGGAUCAUGGAAACGGAGAUCGAUGAGCGAAGAGAUAGAUAAAUAGAGGGAAGAGAGAGAUUGGUAGGCUAGCUCUCUGAGCUCUUAAGGGUUUUGUUCUUUCAGGUUCUCAAAAAAGACAGCAUGCGAUCUAUCAAUCUCCUUCAAUGUUUUAACACAUGUACCUCUUUUGAAUUAUCAUCAAAACCGAGUCUAAUUUUAAAUAUUUUC